CAAAGAGGACCACACCAAGACGCAUCAUAUUUAAAAUGCUAAAGGUUAAAGAUAAAGAGAGAAUCUUAAAAACAGCAAGAGAAAAGCAGAGAGUUACCUACAAAGGAGUGCCCUAAGACUGUUAGCUGACUUCUUAAAGGAAACUUUGCAGU
This is a long non-coding RNA of Phyllostomus discolor (pale spear-nosed bat), 152 nucleotides long. RefSeq lists it as uncharacterized. NCBI's taxonomy places the organism in Eukaryota, Metazoa, Chordata, Mammalia, Chiroptera, Phyllostomidae. The record is from RefSeq and is a predicted model, not a curated record. The transcript is spliced from 2 exons.